RNAcentral lists this transfer RNA (66 nucleotides) under Exitianus indicus. Its description in RNAcentral is "tRNA-Phe". Lineage: Eukaryota; Metazoa; Arthropoda; Insecta; Hemiptera; Cicadellidae. The record is from RNAcentral.
GUUUCUAUAGCUUAAUUUAGAGAGUAUUUCAGUGAAGUUGAAAGGGUAAUUUUAUAUUUGGGAACA